RNAcentral lists this ribosomal RNA (253 nucleotides) under uncultured bacterium. Its description in RNAcentral is "partial 16S ribosomal RNA". It matches the Rfam family "Bacterial small subunit ribosomal RNA", at positions 524 to 776 of the family's 1533-position model. The record is from RNAcentral.
UACAGAGGGUGCGAGCGUUAAUCGGAAUUACUGGGCGUAAAGCGUGCGUAGACGGUUAUUUAAGUCGGGUGUGAAAGCCCCGGGCUCAACCUGGGAAUUGCAUUCGAGACUGAAUAGCUAGGGUACGGUAGAGGGAAGUGGAAUUUCCGGUGUAGCGGUGAAAUGCGCAGAUAUCAGGAAGAACACCCGUGGCGAAGGCGGUUCUCUGGGACGGUACUGACGCUGAGACGCGAAAGCGUGGGGAGCGAACAGG